CCUACGGGAGGCAGCAGUGGGGAAUUUUGGACAAUGGGCGCAAGCCUGAUCCAGCAAUGCCGCGUGCAGGAUGAAGGCCUUCGGGUUGUAAACUGCUUUUGUACGGAGCGAAAAGGUUCCCUCUAAUACAGGGGGCUCAUGACGGUACCGUAAGAAUAAGCACCGGCUAACUACGUGCCAGCAGCCGCGGUAAUACGUAGGGUGCGAGCGUUAAUCGGAAUUACUGGGCGUAAAGCGUGCGCAGGCGGUUCUAUAAGACAGUUGUGAAAUCCCCGGGCUCAACCUGGGAAUUGCAUCUGUGACUGUAGAGCUAGAGUACGGCAGAGGGGGAUGGAAUUCCGCGUGUAGCAGUGAAAUGCGUAGAUAUGCGGAGGAACACCGAUGGCGAAGGCAAUCCCCUGGGCCUGUACUGACGCUCAUGCACGAAAGCGUGGGGAGCAAACAGGAUUAGAUACCCUGGUAGUCCACGCCCUAAACGAUGUCAACUGGUUGUUGGGAAUUUACUUUCUCAGUAACGAAGCUAACGCGUGAAGUUGACCGCCUGGGGAGUACGGCCGCAAGGUUGAAACGUCAAAGGAAUUGACGG
RNAcentral lists this ribosomal RNA (586 nucleotides) under uncultured bacterium. RNAcentral describes it as "bacterial SSU rRNA". It matches the Rfam family "Bacterial small subunit ribosomal RNA", at positions 338 to 916 of the family's 1533-position model. The record is from RNAcentral.